CCCGGACCUUGUACACACCGCCCGUCAAGCCAUGGAAGCUGGGUGUACCUAAAGUCGAUAACCGUAAGGAGUCGCCUAGGGUAAAACUAAUAACUGGGGCUAAGUCGUAACAAGGUACC
This 119-nucleotide ribosomal RNA is filed under the name uncultured bacterium. RNAcentral's name for it is "partial 16S ribosomal RNA". It matches the Rfam family "Bacterial small subunit ribosomal RNA", at positions 1373 to 1500 of the family's 1533-position model. The record is from RNAcentral.